RNAcentral lists this ribosomal RNA (857 nucleotides) under uncultured bacterium. Its description in RNAcentral is "bacterial SSU rRNA". It matches the Rfam family "Bacterial small subunit ribosomal RNA", at positions 40 to 874 of the family's 1533-position model. The record is from RNAcentral.
CGGCGUGCUUAACACAUGCUAGUCGAACGAGAUCGGGGGGGCAACUCCCCGGUUGAGUGGCGGACGGGUGAGUAACACGUGGGUAACCUGCCCGGAAGUGUGGAAUACCUCGGGGAAACUCGAGCUAAUACCGCACGACAUCUUUGGGACGAGAGUCCUGACCAUCAAAGCGGGGUCGCAUGACCUCUCGCUACCGGAUGGGCCCGCGCCCGAUUAGCUCGUUGGAGAGGUAACGGCUCACCAAGGCAACGAUCGGUAGCCGGCCUGAGAGGGUGAUCGGCCACACCGGAACUGAAACACGGUCCGGACUCCUACGGGAGGCAGCAGUGGGGAAUCUUGUGCAAUGGGCGAAAUCCUGACUCACCAACGCCGCGUGGAGGAUGAAGGCCCUUGGGUUGUAAAUCUCCUGUCGGCUGGGAAGAAAUCGUUCGGGGAUAAUACCUCCUGACGUUGACUGUACCAGCAAAGGAAGCCCCGGCUAAUUCUGUGCCAUGAGCCGCGGUAAUACAGAGGGGGUCAGCGUUAUUCCUAAUUAUUGGGAGUAAAGGGCGCGUAGGCGUCCACGCGUAUUUUUCUUGAAAUCCCUGGGCCUAACUGAGGAAUUAUCGAAUAAAAUCCGAGGGUCGUGUUCGCGAGAGGGGGGUGGAAUUCUCAGUGUAGCGGUGAAAUGCAUAGAUAUUGGGAGGAACACCGGAGGCGAAGGCGGCCCCCUGGACCGGUAUCGACGCUGAGGCGGGAAAGCGUGGGGAGCAAACGGGAUUAGAUACCCCGGUAGUUCACGCCGUAAACGAUGGGCACUUGGUGUCGCGGGUAUCGACCCCUGCGGUGCCGAAGCUAACGCAUUAAGCGCCCCGCCU